This 71-nucleotide transfer RNA is filed under the name uncultured archaeon. RNAcentral's name for it is "tRNA-Pro(tgg)". It matches the Rfam family "tRNA". From Rfam's summary of the family: Transfer RNA (tRNA) molecules are approximately 80 nucleotides in length. Their secondary structure includes four short double-helical elements and three loops (D, anti-codon, and T loops). The record is from RNAcentral.
GGGGGUAUGGGGUAGUGGUAGCCUACGAGGUUUGGGACUUCGUGAUCUCGGUUCGAUCCCGAGUACCCCCA